ACUCUCAAAUUCUCUUUAUCACUCAAGAACAUUCCUCUACCUUCAUUCCUUCAUCCAAGGUGUUAGAGCCCACAGAUCUAAUUCCUUGGAGUCCUAGAGCAUAACUGGAAAGCUCUUGCGCUGGUGUCUUUGUUCUUUGAGAGAGUCAAGAUUUUGGUUGAUUGCAAAGGAGAGAAAAACAUGAAGAAAGGGGGAUCUUUAAGGCUUUUUUCGAAAGCUGGACCACGACGUUCCAGAGAUUGACAGGAAUGGAGGGGUCGUGCUCCCGCACAUACCGGGCAUAAGGCGUAAUGAAACUCUUCCCUACGCUUCGAGAAAGGACUUCAGCUCCAUAGUGCUGCCCUUGUCACGAUCUUAUAAAUAGAAUCUAUUUUUAUUUAUGGAUUUUUAUGGUGGGAAGCAUGGAGGCCGACGAGUUCUUUAAUUGUUCUCCUUUCUCUUCGUAUUUCUAUCAUCUUUAGCUUAGAUUUUUAAUUCUUUUGGGUUGUAAUUCAUGGAUUGGAGCUCCUAUUUUCCUCUCAUCUCUGAGUGUUGAGGUAAAGUAAUUUCUAAAUUUUGGAACAAGAACCUACGUAAUUUUCUUUAGAUUUCUUCUAGAAAGAUCUUAAUAUAAUUUGAUUUUGUGCUUUCUUU
Molecule: long non-coding RNA, 633 nt
Organism: Benincasa hispida (wax gourd)
Lineage: Eukaryota; Viridiplantae; Streptophyta; Magnoliopsida; Cucurbitales; Cucurbitaceae
Source: RefSeq, a predicted model, not a curated record